CUAGCCCUGAAUCAAGGCCUGCAACUUCCCGAUGCUGUUGGUUUCCAGCAGGAGCCUAAAGAUAUGUCUUGCAAUAGUCUGUUGGCUAUUGGGAAGAACAUGGCAGACAAAGGGGAGAACAUGG
Cavia aperea (Brazilian guinea pig) is the source of this 124-nucleotide small nucleolar RNA. Lineage: Eukaryota; Metazoa; Chordata; Mammalia; Rodentia; Caviidae. The record is from Ensembl.